UACGGGGGGAGCAAGCGUUGUUCGGAUUUACUGGGCGUAAAGGGCGCGUAGGCGGCCACCGCAAGUCGACUGUGAAAUCUCCGGGCUUAACCCGGAAAGGUCAGCCGAUACUGCGGGGCUAGAGUGCAGAAGGGGCAACUGGAAUUCUCGGUGUAGCGGUGAAAUGCGUAGAUAUCGAGAGGAACACCUGCGGCGAAGGCGGGUUGCUGGGCUGACACUGACGCUGAGGCGCGAGAGCUAGGGGAGCGAACGGG
Molecule: ribosomal RNA, 254 nt
Filed under: uncultured bacterium
Lineage: Bacteria
Description: partial 16S ribosomal RNA
Rfam family: Bacterial small subunit ribosomal RNA
Source: RNAcentral